Long non-coding RNA from Polistes dominula (European paper wasp), 807 nucleotides. RefSeq lists it as uncharacterized. NCBI's taxonomy places the organism in Eukaryota, Metazoa, Arthropoda, Insecta, Hymenoptera, Vespidae. The record is from RefSeq and is a predicted model, not a curated record.
CUUAUCAACAGACUUUAUUCAACGAACCGAAGUUUGCUACAAUACUUCAAACUGAUCUACGUAUCUUAUGAAGAAUAAAAAACCGUCCGAUUAUUAAUAAUAGUUUUUUUUUUAGAAGUGAAAUGCGAAGGCCAUCGAAUGCCAUGCAAUAAUAUUUAAAUGAAGUUGAAACCUUCUUCAACGUACGCAACGACGAUCACAAAAGAAAUGUGGAAGCCAGGAGGAAGCCAAGAGGAAGCCAAGAGGAAGCCAAGAGGAAGCAAGUCUUUGCCCUUUCUGAAACGAGCUGCUCUAAGCGAAAACCCUGGCGAAACCCCUGGCGAAACCCCUGGCGAAACCCCUGGCGAUGACGGAUUCAUGGCCCGUGGGAUGCAAGACGUUUCCUUCUCUCGUCUCUUUUCCUCCUCUUUUCCGGCAAAUUCAACCGAGCGAUUCAUUUGUCGGUCUUUGAUCCGCGACCAACGAGGCACACUCGGAAAAUUAGCGAGAUUUAUUACGUUCUUCCUUAGAAUAUACACAAUUUAUACUUUUUUUCUAUUUUUUUUUUCUAUUUUUCUCGUCACCUGUUCUUAUGAUAGAAUCCGAAUCUUCGUUUUAACGAUAAUGUCCAAUAAAAAUAUUUCUUAAUUGGCAAAUUAUAUUAUUGUAUACAUUGUUAUUGAUAGCAGCGAUUAAAACUAAUUGUAAGAUGAAAGGACUACUUUGUCGAAAGGAUACCCAACGACCCACCCUGGGCAUCUUUGGUGUUCCGUUUAUCUUGAAAUGAUCUUGCUCUACGAAACGUCUUUGAGGGUGUAUCUUUUUAUG